Non-coding RNA from Manis javanica (Malayan pangolin), 503 nucleotides. The record is from RefSeq and is a predicted model, not a curated record. NCBI's taxonomy places the organism in Eukaryota, Metazoa, Chordata, Mammalia, Pholidota, Manidae.
CCUGUGUCUCCUGAAUCGUUCUGGGCUCACCGUCCAUUUCCCAUGUCGCUCGUCUUCUCGCCCAACACCAGCCUUCAAUUUGUUACUCCUCCAGGGCUAUCAAGGCCUUUUCACGAAGAAUAAAGAAACUAGCUAGAUGACAUCACGAAUCAUCUCAAGAUGCCCACCCUUCUCCAAGUCUACAGCAACGGCCUCGCUAACCCCAGAAUCUGCACCCCCUUCCUGCAGGAAGUAGCUAGAGAAUGAGAUUCUAUGCCCAGUUCCCCAGAGGCCCAAUUAAGAAAAGAAAAAGAUGGGAAUUAAGGCAAAUUCUGGCGUGCUAAGACCCCUACCCCUUAAGAUCCAAUCACCAACAACCAGAUGGUCGCCCACCCCUUAAGAUACAAUCACCAACGCAGAACACACCCUUCCCCUACUCCUUAAAGACGUGCUUCCUCACCCACGAGCUGCUGCUCCCUCUCUCUGUGGGCAGCCAUUUUCUCUUUCAGAUAAUAAAAUCUCUU